Molecule: ribosomal RNA, 1396 nt
Filed under: uncultured bacterium
Lineage: Bacteria
Description: 16S ribosomal RNA
Rfam family: Bacterial small subunit ribosomal RNA
Source: RNAcentral
AGAGUUUGAUCCUGGCUCAGGAUGAACGCUAGCUACAGGCUUAACACAUGCAAGUCGAGGGGCAGCAUGAGAGGACUUCGGUCCUUUCGAUGGCGACCGGCGAAUGGGUGAGUAACACGUAUCCAACCUGCCCCUGACCGGGGGAUAGCCCUCCGAAAGGAGAAUUAACACCCCAUGGGUGUCCGUGCGGCAUCGCGCGGCCAUGAAAGGUUACGGUCAGGGAUGGGGAUGCGUCCGAUUAGCUUGCUGGCGGGGUAACGGCCCACCAGGGCGUCGAUCGGUAGGGGUUCUGAGAGGAAGGUCCCCCACACUGGAACUGAGACACGGUCCAGACUCCUACGGGAGGCAGCAGUGAGGAAUAUUGGUCAAUGGGCGGAAGCCUGAACCAGCCAAGUAGCGUGAAGGAUGACGGCCCUACGGGUUGUAAACUUCUUUUAUGCGGGAACAAAGUGCGCCACGCGUGGCGUUUUGCGCGUACCGCAGGAAAAAGCACCGGCUAAUUCCGUGCCAGCAGCCGCGGUAAUACGGAGGAUGCGAGCGUUAUCCGGAUUUAUUGGGUUUAAAGGGUGCGCAGGCUGCCUGUCAAGUCAGCGGUAAAAAUUGCGGGGCUCAACCCCGUACCGCCGUUGAGACUGACGGGCUGGAGUGCGGUUGAGGCAUGCGGAAUGCGAGGUGUAGCGGUGAAAUGCAUAGAUAUCACGCAGAACUCCGAUUGCGAAGGCAGCAUGCCAAGCCGUUACUGACGCUCAGGCACGAAAGCGUGGGGAUCGAACAGGAUUAGAUACCCUGGUAGUCCACACUGUAAACGAUGAUGACUCGCUGUCGGCGAAUAUACAGUCGGUGGCCAAGCGAAAGCGAUAAGUCAUCCACCUGGGGAGUACGACCGCAAGGUUGAAACUCAAAGGAAUUGACGGGGGCCCGCACAAGCGGAGGAACAUGUGGUUUAAUUCGAUGAUACGCGAGGAACCUUACCCGGGCUCGAACGGUGCAGGAAGGAUCAAGAGAUUGUGACGCCCUUCGGGGCCUGCAUCGAGGUGCUGCAUGGUUGUCGUCAGCUCGUGCCGUGAGGUGUCGGCUCAAGUGCCAUAACGAGCGCAACCCUUGCUUCCAGUUACCAGCAUGUUAUGAUGGGGACUCUGGAAGGACUGCCACCGCAAGGUGAGAGGAAGGGGGGGAUGACGUCAAAUCAGCACGGCCCUUACGUCCGGGGCGACACACGUGUUACAAUGGCGGCCACAGAGGGAAGCCACCCUGCGAAGGGGAGCGAAUCUCGAAAAGCCGUCUCAGUUCGGAUCGGAGUCUGCAACCCGACUCCGUGAAGCUGGAUUCGCUAGUAAUCGCGCAUCAGCCAUGGCGCGGUGAAUACGUUCCCGGGCCUUGCACUCACCGCCCGUCA